GCACGUGAAAUUCCGUCGGAAUCUGGGAGGACCAUCUCCUAAGGCUAAAUACUCUCUAGUGACCGAUAGUGAACCAGUACCGUGAGGGAAAGGUGAAAAGUACCCCGGAAGGGGAGUGAAAGAGAACUUGAAACCGUGUGCUUACAAGUAGUCAGAGCCCGUUAAUGGGUGAUGGCGUGCCUUUUGUAGAAUGAACCGGCGAGUUACGAUUUGAUGCAAGGUUAAGCAGCUAAUGUGGAGCCG
RNAcentral lists this ribosomal RNA (243 nucleotides) under Staphylococcus warneri. RNAcentral describes it as "partial 23S ribosomal RNA". It matches the Rfam family "Bacterial large subunit ribosomal RNA", at positions 422 to 668 of the family's 2925-position model. The record is from RNAcentral. Lineage: Bacteria; Bacillati; Bacillota; Bacilli; Caryophanales; Staphylococcaceae.